ACGACCACACCUAGGCGAAAACACCAGUUCCCGUCCGAUCACUGCAGUUAAGCGUCUGAGGGUCUCGUUAGUACUAUGGUUGGAGACAACAUGGGAAUCCGGGAUGCUGUAGGCU
This 115-nucleotide ribosomal RNA is filed under the name Schizosaccharomyces octosporus yFS286. Lineage: Eukaryota; Fungi; Ascomycota; Schizosaccharomycetes; Schizosaccharomycetales; Schizosaccharomycetaceae. The record is from RNAcentral.